UACAGAGGGGGCAAGCGUUGUUCGGAAUUACUGGGCGUAAAGGGCGCGUAGGCGGCCUUCUAAGUCGAACGUGAAAUCCCCGGGCUCAACCCGGGAACUGCGUCCGAUACUGGAAGGCUUGAAUCCGGGAGAGGGAUGUGGAAUUCCAGGUGUAGCGGUGAAAUGCGUAGAUAUCUGGAGGAACGCCGGUGGCGAAAGCGACUCUCUGGGCCGUUCCUGACACUAAAGCGCGAGAGCUAGGGGAGCAAACAGG
This 253-nucleotide ribosomal RNA is filed under the name uncultured bacterium. RNAcentral describes it as "partial 16S ribosomal RNA". It matches the Rfam family "Bacterial small subunit ribosomal RNA", at positions 524 to 776 of the family's 1533-position model. The record is from RNAcentral.